This 719-nucleotide ribosomal RNA is filed under the name Heliofungia actiniformis. RNAcentral's name for it is "partial 12S small subunit ribosomal RNA". It matches the Rfam family "Bacterial small subunit ribosomal RNA", at positions 314 to 1493 of the family's 1533-position model. The record is from RNAcentral. Lineage: Eukaryota; Metazoa; Cnidaria; Anthozoa; Scleractinia; Fungiidae.
UUUCACUGAAACAAGGGAAAACAUUAGCAGCAGUAAGGAAUUUUAUGUAAUAUACGAAAGUAAGACAUAGUUAGGACAUUUUUAUCUGUCAAAUUAAGUGCCAGCAGACGCGGUGAAACUUAAGGAUUUGUUUUUUAGAAAAAGCAGAAAGCGUGUAAAGGUAAAAAAUAUUUAAAAUAAAUAGAAUUUUUUUAGUAAUAGUGAAAUGUUAUUAUAAGGAAAAGAAUUCUUUAUGUGAAAAUAAUUUAUUUUUUUUUUUCUUAAGCACGAGGGUUUUGGGAGUAAACAGGAUUAGAGACCCUGGUAAUCAAUACAGUAAAAAAAAAUCGCUUGAGUAGUACGGUCGCAAGAUUAAAAUUCAAAAAAUUUGGCUGUUCAUUGUUAUUUAGAGGAGCGUGUCGUUUAAUUCGAUAAUUCGCGAAUUACCUUACCAAGACUUGGUUUUCCGGUGUUGCAUGGCCGUCGUCAAUUUGUGUUUGAUACAAUAAAUUAAAUCCUAGAAAGGUUGAAGUCAGGUAUUAUUGCCCUUAUGUUUUGGGAUUAGAUGCGCUACAUUUUUUUAAUAAAAAAAAAAGAGUUCGGAUUGUUUUUAAAAUAGAGCAAUUAAGUUGAAUUUAAUAGUAAUUGAAAAGUAGAGCGUUUCAAUGAAUUUAAAACAAUGUUAGUACAAAUUGCCCGUCGCCUUUGCUGAGGUAAACAAAGCAGAGUAAGUCGUAACA